CGCACAUUGCGCCCGCUGGAAUUCCAGCGGGCAUGCCUGUUCGAGCGUCAUUUCACCCCUCAAGCCUAGCUUGGUGUUGGAGCACUACCGCUUUUCGAAGUGGUAGGCUCUGAAAUUCAGUGGCGGGCUCGCUAAGACUCUGAGCGUAGUAGUUUAUCACCUCGCUUUGGAAGGAUUAGCGGUGCUCUUGCCGUAAAACCCCCCAACUUCUGAAUUUUGACCUCGGAUCAGGUAGGAAUACCCGCUGAACUUAA
RNAcentral lists this unclassified non-coding RNA (254 nucleotides) under Coniella tibouchinae. Its description in RNAcentral is "partial contains 5.8S ribosomal RNA, internal transcribed spacer 2, and large subunit ribosomal RNA". The record is from RNAcentral. Lineage: Eukaryota; Fungi; Ascomycota; Sordariomycetes; Diaporthales; Schizoparmaceae.